CCUACGGGCGGCAGCAGUGGGGAAUAUUGGGCAAUGGGCGCAAGCCUGACCCAGCAACGCCGCGUGAAGGAAGAAGGCCCUCGGGUUGUAAACUUCUUUUAACAGGGACGAAGAAAGUGACGGUACCUGAUGAAUAAGCCACGGCUAACUACGUGCCAGCAGCCGCGGUAAUACGUAGGUGGCAAGCGUUAUCCGGAUUUACUGGGUGUAAAGGGCGUGUAGGCGGGAGUGCAAGUCAGAUGUGAAAAUCCAGGGCUCAACCUUUGGACUGCGUUUGAAACUGUUCUUCUUGAGUAAUGGAGAGGCAGACGGAAUUCCGAGUGUAGCGGUGAAAUGCGUAGAUAUAAGGAGGAACACCAGUGGCGAAGGCGGUCUGCUGGACAUCAACUGACGCUGAGGCGCGAAAGCGUGGGGAGCAAACAGGAUUAGAUACCCCAGUAGUC
Molecule: ribosomal RNA, 443 nt
Filed under: uncultured bacterium
Lineage: Bacteria
Description: partial 16S ribosomal RNA
Rfam family: Bacterial small subunit ribosomal RNA
Source: RNAcentral